GGACCAUUAGCUGGUUGGUGGGGUAAUGGCCCACCAAGGCGAUGAUGGUUAGCUGGUCUGAGAGGAUGAUCAGCCACACUGGAACUGGAACACGGUCCAGACUCCUACGGGAGGCAGCAGUGAGGGAUUUUGCGCAAUGGGGGGAACCCUGACGCAGCAACGCCGCGUGAGUGAAGAAGGCCUUUGGGUCGUAAAGCUCUGUCAAUCGGGAAGAAGUUAUUUAGGUCGAACAGGCGUAAGUAUUGACGGUACCGAUGAAGGAAGCAUCGGCUAACUCCGUGCCAGCAGCCGCGGUAAUACGGGGGAUGCAAGCGUUAUUCGGAAUUAUUGGGCGUAAAGGGCGCGUAGGCGGUUUUGUCGGUCAGAUGUGAAAGCCCGGGGCUCAACCCUGGAAGCGCAUUUGAAACAGCAAGACUUGAGUACGGGAGAGGAAAGCGGAAUUCCUGGUGUAGAGGUGAAAUUCGUAGAUAUCAGGAGGAACACCGAUGGCGAAGGCAGCUUUCUGGACCGAUACUGACGCUGAGGCGCGAAGGCGUGGGUAGCGAACAGGAUUAGAUACCCUGGUAGUCCACGCAGUAAACGAUGUACACUCGGUGUAGCGGGUAUUAAAAUCUGCUGCGCCCAAGCUAACGCAUUAAGUGUACCGCCUGGGGAGUACGGUCGCAAGACUAAACUCAAUGAAUUGACGGGGGCCCGCACAAGCGGUGGAGCAUGUGGUUUAAUUCGACGCAACGCGAAGACCUUACCUGGGUUUGACAUCCUGUGGAUCCGGUAGAGAUAUCGAGUGCCUUCGGGAGCACAGAAGAACA
This 809-nucleotide ribosomal RNA is filed under the name uncultured delta proteobacterium. RNAcentral describes it as "bacterial SSU rRNA". It matches the Rfam family "Bacterial small subunit ribosomal RNA", at positions 235 to 1038 of the family's 1533-position model. The record is from RNAcentral. Lineage: Bacteria; Deltaproteobacteria.